This 429-nucleotide ribosomal RNA is filed under the name Bacteroidota bacterium. RNAcentral's name for it is "Bacteroidetes bacterium partial 16S ribosomal RNA". It matches the Rfam family "Bacterial small subunit ribosomal RNA", at positions 355 to 776 of the family's 1533-position model. Lineage: Bacteria; Pseudomonadati; Bacteroidota. The record is from RNAcentral.
UAGGGAAUCUUCCGCAAUGGACGCAAGUCUGACGGAGCAACGCCGCGUGAGUGAAGAAGGAUUUCGGUUCGUAAAACUCUGUUGUUAGAGAAGAACAGCGCAUAGAGUAACUGUUAUGCGUGUGACGGUAUCUAACCAGAAAGCCACGGCUAACUACGUGCCAGCAGCCGCGGUAAUACGUAGGUGGCAAGCGUUGUCCGGAUUUAUUGGGCGUAAAGCGAGCGCAGGCGGUCAAUUAAGUCUGAUGUGAAAGCCCCCGGCUCAACCGGGGAGGGUCAUUGGAAACUGGUUGACUUGAGUGCAGAAGAGGAGAGUGGAAUUCCAUGUGUAGCGGUGAAAUGCGUAGAUAUAUGGAGGAACACCAGUGGCGAAGGCGACUCUCUGGUCUGUAACUGACGCUGAGGUUCGAAAGCGUGGGUAGCAAACAGG